UACGUAGGGUGCGAGCGUUGUCCGGAAUUAUUGGGCGUAAAGAGCUUGUAGGCGGUCUGUCGCGUCUGCUGUGAAAAUCCGGGGCUCAACCCCGGACUUGCAGUGGGUACGGGCAGACUAGAGUGUGGUAGGGGAGACUGGAAUUCCUGGUGUAGCGGUGAAAUGCGCAGAUAUCGGGAGGAACACCAGUGGCGAAGGCGGCACUCUGGGCCGGAACUGACGCUGAGGAGCGAAAGCGUGGGGAGCGAACAGG
RNAcentral lists this ribosomal RNA (253 nucleotides) under uncultured bacterium. RNAcentral describes it as "partial 16S ribosomal RNA". It matches the Rfam family "Bacterial small subunit ribosomal RNA", at positions 524 to 776 of the family's 1533-position model. The record is from RNAcentral.